AAUGGUCGAAUCUGUGGGUUAGAAUAAUAAAUGAAAGCGACUUGUUAAGAGGUUACAUAGUUGGUAUUUUUGUACAAUAUCCCCGGGUAAAGAGUCAGUGUGACGAUGCUUUUGCCUACUGGGGAAAAGGAACCAUGGUCACUGUCUCGUCAGCUCAACCAUCUCCGCCGAAGUCAAUCUUCGGCCUGUCUCAGUGUUCUUCUGAUUCUGAGUUCCUCACCAUCGGCUGCGUGUCAAGAGGUUUCUCCCCCGCGGACUCGCUUACUUUCAAAUGGACGGAUCCCGCUAAGAAAGAGGUGACUGAUUUCGUGCAGUAUCCAGCGUUCGGGAGUGAAGGAGACUAUACCAAAAUCAGCCAUCUGCGUGUGAAAAAAAGCGACUGGAAUCUUCAAAAACCUUACACAUGUGAAGCUUCAAAUUCGAAAGGCACUCUAAAAACUGAAACAGUUAAACCAGCCCCACCGCCAGAUCAGCCUGCAACUGUCUACUUAACAGUACCUACACAAAAGGAUUUAGAAAAUGGAACAGCAACCUUCUUGUGUUUAGCCCAGCAGUUUUCACCUAAAAAAUAUUCGUUUAAGUGGUUUAAGGAUGGUCAGCAGGUGGCAAAUACAAUAAACACCUAUGACACAAGUGAGAAGAAUGGCUCAGUAACCUUAUAUAGCGCCACAAGCAGUUUGCAAAUCAGUGCCGAAGAAUGGAAGCCAGCCGCCAAAAUCAAGUGCGAGUUUGAGCACAAGACGGGAAAAGAAGUCAGAGAGGCCGCAUAUACAGAUAUUACUGAUGACUGCACCAAUGUUGCUGCUGUUAUAGUCCCCCCGUCCCUUGAAGACAUGCUGAAAAAUAGAGAAGGAACGCUGACGUGCAAAGCUUCAGGAGCAAAUCCAGGAUUCACCAAAAUAGAGAUAAAAGCAAAUAAUUUUGUCAUCGCUGAGGCAUCGGAGGCACAUUUCAAGAACAAAAUAAAGGUGGAGCUUGAAGCCCCUAUAGGCUACGAAGAAUGGAGCAACGGCACAGUAUUUACGUGCACAGUUGAACACACAAAACUACCACAGCCCAUGGAGACUACGUUCAAAAGAGAAAAUGGUGCGAGACCCAAGAGACCCUCUGUUUACCUGUUAGCACCCCCAGAGCACAAAGAGGGUGAAACGAUGACCCUGACAUGUUAUGUGAAGGAUUUCUACCCCAAAGAGGUGUUUGUGUCUUGGCUUGCUGAUGAUGAACCUGUGAUUUUUAAGUCCAAAACUAGCCUGCCAGUGCAGGAUGAUGAAUACUUCUCCGUCUACAGUCAGAUCACAGUCAGUUAUUCUGAGUGGAAGAGCGGUAUAGUGUACAGUUGUGUUGUGUUCCAUGAAAGCAUUGAUGAAAAAAUGCGCGUACUGACAAGAUCUAUUGAUGAUCAUAUCGAUAAGCCAGGUGUAAUUAAUCUAAGUAUGAAUACCCCUGCAUCCUGCAAGGACUAGAUCGUUAUGCAUGUGAUGUCUUCCUGUUAUGCCUGUUAAGUGUUUAACUUGUUCAUCUUGUGUUUCUUUUUGUUCUUGAGUUACAUGUCCAUAAUUGUAAGUGUGUUUGUCUUUAAUGUUUGUGGCUUCUUGCUUUUUGAGAUAUUUUCAUGCACAUAAUUUAGGAAAAGACUAAUAAAAAAAGAAACUAAGCAUA
Ctenopharyngodon idella (grass carp) is the source of this 1659-nucleotide non-coding RNA. Lineage: Eukaryota; Metazoa; Chordata; Actinopteri; Cypriniformes; Xenocyprididae. The record is from the annotation of a RefSeq genome assembly.